CUCUCCAUAUAACUUCGAACUCAACUUUUCAGCGAGGCGCGAACUCAACUUUGUGUGCCUUGUGGCACCGUUUUUGGAGUUAAAAAAUUCGCCUUCAUUCCAAAUUUCGUUGUUUUCCUGUGGCUUUCGUAAUCGCUAUACAUAUUUUUGCUUCUUAAUUUCAAACAGUAGAAAGUAUAAUUUAUUUUGUUUACUUUAAGUUUAAAAUCCGCAGCGGUCCGGUUGAGCGGUCCGUAUCGUGAAAAACCGGACCGCAAACGAAGCAAUUUGAUUGGCUAAAAAGCAUGGCGAAAAUUUGUGGUUGUCAUUUUACCAGGUAACUUCUUUCUUAUAUUUAUUCAGCUUUAUAGCUGUAGGCAAAUUACAUGUGUUCGCAAUGGUCUAGCAAACAAC
Non-coding RNA from Paramuricea clavata, 393 nucleotides. The record is from the annotation of a GenBank genome assembly. NCBI's taxonomy places the organism in Eukaryota, Metazoa, Cnidaria, Anthozoa, Malacalcyonacea, Plexauridae.